Molecule: ribosomal RNA, 959 nt
Filed under: uncultured bacterium
Lineage: Bacteria
Description: partial 16S ribosomal RNA
Rfam family: Bacterial small subunit ribosomal RNA
Source: RNAcentral
GGCGCAAGCCUGAUCUAGCCAUGCCGCGUGAGUGAUGAAGGCCUUCGGGUUGUAAAGCUCUUUCAUACGGAAAAAUAAUGAUCUUCCCCACAGGGUGUGCCUGAUAAUUCCGUGCCAACAACCGCGGCUUACUACGUGGGCUAGCGUUGUUCGUAAUUACUGGUGCGAGCGUUCAUCUAAAUUACUGGGCGUAAAGCGUGUGAAAUCCCUGAGGUCAAACUUAUGUCUGCCUUUGAAACUCCCGGUCUUGACUGCGAUAGAGACUGCUGGAAUUCCGAGUGGCAAAGUGAAGUGCAAUUAUAUUUGUAGGAACGCCAUGGGUAAAUAUGGCUCAGAGGCUCGAUGGUGACGGUGAGGUCCUGAAGCAUGACUGACGCUCAUGAUUAAAUACCCUGGGAGUCCACGCCAUUAAAUACCCUGGCCAUCCACGCCCUAAAAUGCUGUUCUAUGUGUUCCUAGAGGAUACUCAUUUCCGCCUGGGCUAACGCGUGAAAGGACCGCCUGGGAAGAAUUGACGGGGGGUUAAAACUCCGGUGGAUGACGUGGGACCCUUCCAAGCAGCGGAUGAAACCUAUUAAUUCCUUGCCAUUGAUAAAAUCUUACCUAGAUUUGACAGCCCCUUCUUGCAGCCUGUGGCUUGGUGCUCAUGGAGUCCUGGCUCGUGUGCUGCAUGGCUGUUUAAGCUCGUGUCGAGAGAUGCCCUUGUCGUCAUUGCCAUCAUUAACCCUUGUCUUUAAUUGCCACUGUUAAUGACGGCCUUAAGAAAGACUGCAUGAGACCAACCCCUCGAAGGCGUUAUAUGACGGGAUUCCUCAUCAUACAUUGAGUAGGACUUCACACUUCAUACCCUGGACGUGGCACAAUCUCCCAAAGCCGAUCGUGGACCGAUCGCAGUCAGCACUCGACUCCCUGAUUGAGUCUGCUCUCAACUCAUAAAGCGGAUCGCUAGAAUACGUACA